UACGGAGGGUGCGAGCGUUAAUCGGAAUAACUGGGCGUAAAGGGCGCGCAGGCGGGCUUUUAAGUGAGAUGUGAAAGCCCCGGGCUUAACCUGGGAAUAGCGUUUGAAACUGGGAGACUAGAGUGCAGUAGGGGAGGGUAGAAUUCCACGUGUAGCGGUGAAAUGCGUAGAGAUGUGGAGGAAUACCAGAGGCGAAGGCAGCCCCCUGG
This 209-nucleotide ribosomal RNA is filed under the name uncultured bacterium. RNAcentral's name for it is "partial 16S ribosomal RNA". It matches the Rfam family "Bacterial small subunit ribosomal RNA", at positions 524 to 732 of the family's 1533-position model. The record is from RNAcentral.